Molecule: long non-coding RNA, 428 nt
Organism: Pocillopora damicornis (cauliflower coral)
Lineage: Eukaryota; Metazoa; Cnidaria; Anthozoa; Scleractinia; Pocilloporidae
Source: RefSeq, a predicted model, not a curated record
UCUUUACUUCAGCUUAACGCGACGAAAAUUUGACAAAACCCCAUAACCUAAAGGAAUUUCUUUACAGACAAGGAUAAAAAGUGGUUGUUUCAACCAACUGAGGCUGCCUAAUACUAUUUUGCUGUGAUUUUUUAGGAGAUUCUCUUAACAGAUUUUGUUUUGGCGACAAACGGACACGUCAUAAUUUUGCAUUCUUUCCUUGCAAAAUCUCAGUCACCUGGGCUGUGUUCCACCUUGCUGGUAGUCGCGCUCUGCAACAAGAGUACGGAGGUAUUUCAGUCAAGGUAAGCGGUCAAACUCAUAAGGAAUAAGUCAAAAUUCUUUAAGGUCACGCUUUGUUGAAUCGCAGCAAAAAAUGUUUCACGCAUCAGGUGCUAAAUCUUUCAUUUCUUGCAGUGCAAACUCCCGGCGACGAUAGGCAACCUUUA